This 301-nucleotide ribosomal RNA is filed under the name uncultured bacterium. RNAcentral describes it as "partial 16S ribosomal RNA". It matches the Rfam family "Bacterial small subunit ribosomal RNA", at positions 509 to 809 of the family's 1533-position model. The record is from RNAcentral.
CAGUAGCCGCGGUAAUACGUAGGGUGCAAGCGUUAAUCGGAAUUACUGGGCGUAAAGCGUGCGCAGGCGGUCCGCUAAGACAGAUGUGAAAUCCCCGGGCUUAACCUGGGAACUGCAUUUGUGACUGGCGGGCUAGGGUAUGGCAGAGGGGGGUAGAAUUCCACGUGUAGCAGUGAAAUGCGUAGAGAUGUGGAGGAAUACCGAUGGCGAAGGCAGCCCCCUGGGCCAAUACUGACGCUCAUGCACGAAAGCGUGGGGAGCAAACAGGAUUAGAUACCCGCGUAGUCCCUGUCUCUUAUAA